This 467-nucleotide ribosomal RNA is filed under the name uncultured bacterium. RNAcentral describes it as "bacterial SSU rRNA". It matches the Rfam family "Bacterial small subunit ribosomal RNA", at positions 11 to 526 of the family's 1533-position model. The record is from RNAcentral.
GUUUGAUCAUGGCUCAGAACGAACGCUGGCGGCAGGCUUAACACAUGCAAGUCGAACGCCCCGCAAGGGGAGUGGCAGACGGGUGAGUAACGCGUGGGAAUCUACCUGGUUCUACGGAAUAACUGAGGGAAACUUCAGCUAAUACCGUAUACGCCCCAAGGGGGAAAGAUUUAUCGGUGCCAGAUGAGCCCGCGUUGGAUUAGCUAGUUGGUGGGGUAAUGGCCUACCAAGGCGACGAUCCAUAGCUGGUCUGAGAGGAUGAUCAGCCACACUGGGACUGAGACACGGCCCAGACUCCUACGGGAGGCAGCAGUGGGGAAUAUUGGACAAUGGGCGCAAGCCUGAUCCAGCCAUGCCGCGUGGAUGAUGAAGGCCCUAGGGUUGUAAAGUCCUUUUAACGGGGAAGAUAAUGACGGUACCCGUAGAAUAAGCCCCGGCUAACUUCGUGCCAGCAGCCGCGGUAAUAA